GUUGCUUAAUAUAUGCUUGUUGAUUUAUUAAUGAUUUAUUAAGAGAGGCGAAGUUAUGUGGCUAGGAAAUGUUCUGGAUGGGACUCAAACCCACAUCUCCUGAAUCUGGUCACUCCUUUUAAAAGAUGAGACAUGGCGUGGAGAGAUGGGAGGGAGACCGGUGUCCCAGACUCACCUCUGCUGCCCAUUCCCUACGGCAUCUUGGACCAGACCUGUGAUUUCAUUGCCAUAGGAAACUUUCAGGUUGGGAAGGUGGCAAUGAAGAAGAACUUCUCUCUGACAAUAAAGGAAAAGGACCAAAUAAGCAAACUGAUAUUGCCAAUGAUUACAGAGGAUUUGUUUACCCAAUGAAGAAAUGAAACUGUUUCCAAGCUCUUACAGUAUCCUUUGUUAUCAUUCAGUCAUUUUAGUCAUGAUCCUGCAUGGAGUUUCUUGGCAAGGUCUGCCAUUUUUUUUUCAGUGGAUUAAGCAAACAGAAAUUAAAUGACUUGAUCAAGGUCA
Molecule: long non-coding RNA, 501 nt
Organism: Antechinus flavipes (yellow-footed antechinus)
Lineage: Eukaryota; Metazoa; Chordata; Mammalia; Dasyuromorphia; Dasyuridae
Exons: 3
Source: RefSeq, a predicted model, not a curated record